UGGGGAAUAUUGGACAAUGGGGGCAACCCUGAUCCAGCAAUGCCGCGUGUGUGAAGAAGGUCUUCGGAUUGUAAAGCACUUUCGACGGGGACGAUGAUGACGGUACCCGUAGAAGAAGCCCCGGCUAACUUCGUGCCAGCAGCCGCGGUAAUACGAAGGGGGCUAGCGUUGCUCGGAAUGACUGGGCGUAAAGGGCGUGUAGGCGGUUUACACAGUCAGAUGUGAAAUCCCCGGGCUUAACCUGGGAGCUGCAUUUGAUACGUGUAGACUAGAGUGUGAGAGAGGGUUGUGGAAUUCCCAGUGUAGAGGUGAAAUUCGUAGAUAUUGGGAAGAACACCGGUGGCGAAGGCGGCAACCUGGCUCAUGACUGACGCUGAGGCGCGAAAGCGUGGGGAGCAAACAGGAUUAGAUACCCUGGUAGUCCACGCUGCAAACGAUGUGUGCUAGAUGUUGGGUAACUUUGUUAUUCUAGUGUCGCAGUUAACGCGUUAAGCACA
Molecule: ribosomal RNA, 497 nt
Filed under: uncultured bacterium
Lineage: Bacteria
Description: partial 16S ribosomal RNA
Rfam family: Bacterial small subunit ribosomal RNA
Source: RNAcentral